Chenopodium quinoa (quinoa) is the source of this 1666-nucleotide long non-coding RNA. RefSeq lists it as uncharacterized. NCBI's taxonomy places the organism in Eukaryota, Viridiplantae, Streptophyta, Magnoliopsida, Caryophyllales, Amaranthaceae. The transcript has 7 exons. The record is from RefSeq and is a predicted model, not a curated record.
GAACCCUACAGGAUAUUCUAACAUCUCGAAAACUACUAUCUUCUUUUUUCCUUCAUUACAUCUGAGUUCUUUACAUAGAUUCACGGAGUCAUGGCCUAGAGUUUAAAUUCAGAUCCUCUUUCUUCUUGCGUUUAAUCUAUCACAGUAAUUUAUAUAUCAUGGCAAAAAUUAUUGUCUUUAUAUCAAAUCUGAUGGUUUGCAUUGAAAUUCGAUUUGCGAUAGCCAUUGCUCUUGUUCUCCUCACAUGUUACAUUUUUACAUGAAUCUUUGUUAAUUUUCUACUCUUAAUAGAUAUAAAUUGCUUCUUUCAUUUUUUUGUUUGAUUUUAAUUGAUACUUGCAAGUUGCAAUUAUUCAAUUUUACUCGUUUUCAAACCCCAGGUUAUAGAUUUUGUUGAAUUUCUAUUUGUACAAUUAAUCUCUUAGUUUCUAGAUAUUUUCUUAUACAUUAGUGAUUUACUGGAUUGCUAAUUUCAUUUUUUUUGGAUCUAUUUCUUUACAUGUAAAACUUGACAUUGAUUUUGUUACUCCAUUCUUUCAUAGUUUUAGAGUUAUUGGUUGGACCAAAGCAGAGUUUGGACCUCGAAUAGAAGAAAAAGAAGGGGUUUUUUAAACCAAAGAUCACCUUCUCAUUAUAUUCCAUGAAAAUGGUGGGCAGUAGAAUCGUCGAGCCUCUAACAGCAAGGGCGAAUAUUGCUGAAUGUGGAUAUGGAUCAAGUAACAAUGCUUGACAAGGUUCUCAAUCUGAAGGAGAUUCGUCAAACACAACUAUUUUUGUUGGAGGGCUUGAUCCUAGUGUCAUAAACGAGGAUCUUAGGCAACCUUUCUCUCAAUAUGGGGAGAUAUUUUAUGUUAAAAUUCCAGUAGGGAAAGGAUGCGGAUUUGUGCGAUUUGCAAACAGAGGUCAUGCUGAAGAGGCUUUGAAUAAGCUAAACGGGUCAGUUAUAGGAAAGCAAAUUGUCUGUCUUUCAUGGGGCCGCUAACCUACAAACAAACAGUCAAGAGGUGACUAUGGAAAUAUGUGGAAUGGAGGCUACUACGGAGGACACAUAUAUGGUGGUGGUAACGGAUACGUACCACACCCCCAUGACCAAAGCAUGUAUGCAGCAGCGACAGCAGCUUACUGAGCCUACCUUGUAUACGACAAUCAGCAACAAGUAAGCUGAUGACAAAGACACGAAAAAAGAAGUAGCGCGCAUGAGGAGAAGCCUCAAGAUUAUCGAUAAGCGUUUCGUAUAGCACUACCUAGCCGUAGAUUUGUAUGAAGAUUUUUUAACUUGGUGUCAAAGAUCAGAAAUUGUUCAGCGCCCCUGAUGGAUCGUUUGAUGCUGAAUUAGAGAUUUGUUUGAAAUUUCUGGUUGAGAGUUACAUUUCACAUGUGGUUUAAGACAAGCCAAAGUUUAUUAAGAUUGGAAAAAGCAAUGUAGGUGCAACAAGAGAAUAGGCCAGGACAGUUGAGCAUCAAAACAAGCGACUAUAUCGUCUAUAAGGCCAUCAUCUAUCUAUUUUGGUUUUUAGUCUUAUAAUAGUGAUGUAUUAUUUAGGGACAAGCUACUAUAAUAUGCGACGUUUUUUUUUUGUUUUUUUUUAUUAUUAUUAUUAAUUGUGUUGAUGUUUUCUUUUGUAAAUUUGGUAAUUAACUACGUACUCUUAUUGUUGUUGAUUAA